UCAACACAUUGGCUACACCCCUUCCAGGAGGGGCAUGAAACUAAAACUUAACUUCAGGUUUCUUCAACUGUCUGGGCUUGCUUUUCAAAGAGAUCGAAGAUGGCUUUGGCUAUAGAAAGUUUGAGUAUCAGUGUUGGAUGGAAGAGUCUCGCUUUGAAAGGUUUGGCCGUAUCCACCUGUGGAUUAGUGAUUCUUGUAGUUGGAGUUGUGGUCGUGGCAGGUAUAGGUGCAUGGGCGUACGUGGAACACAUGAGGCGUCAACCCCCCCCAAAGGAAGAAGAAAAACCUUCAUUCUGGAGCAAAGUAAAAUCCUUCUUGGGUUUUUAGCUCAAGCUUUGAUUGAAUCCUGACUCAGCAAUAAAAAAAAUGAUGUCAGACACUGUUG
Long non-coding RNA from Labrus mixtus (cuckoo wrasse), 385 nucleotides. RefSeq lists it as uncharacterized. The record is from RefSeq and is a predicted model, not a curated record. NCBI's taxonomy places the organism in Eukaryota, Metazoa, Chordata, Actinopteri, Labriformes, Labridae. The transcript has 3 exons.